UGGAUCACCUCCUAACAGGGAGACAACAAAAUGUUUAAUAUUAUUAUUUUGUCACCUUAGGUCGAUCGGUAUCUCACGUUCUUAAUUUAUUAAGAAUUUCAUUUCCUAAGUUUUUCUAGGUCACACCCAUUAUUUUUCCUGGGCCAUUAGCUCAGGUGGUUAGAGCGCACCCCUGAUAAGGGUGAGGUCCCUGGUUCAAGUCCAGGAUGGCCCAUAUCUCUAUGUUGGGGGUAUAGCUCAGUUGGUAGAGCGCCUGCUUUGCAAGCAGGAUGUCAGCGGUUCGAGUCCGCUUACCUCCACUGAUUACCACCUCUUCCAUAAUCGUUAGAAAGGAAAUGUUCUGAGUUGUGACCAAGUUCUGAACGAUUCUAGCUUCCUAAUAAAACUAUUAAGAUGCUGGACUCAUUGAAUUAAUUUCAUUGUUUUCAGAGAACCUUGACAACUGCAUAGAUUAUUUUUAAAGGCAAUAAGCAUCUUUAAUGAUGCAGAUUUAUUAUUUGUGCGAAUGCAUUAAUAACAAUUCUAUUAAGCUGAUGCUUCAAUUUUGAAGUUAUUGGUCAAGCUACAAAGGGCUCACGGAGGAUACCUAGGCACACAGAGGCGAUGAAGG
Molecule: transfer RNA, 610 nt
Filed under: uncultured Prochlorococcus sp.
Lineage: Bacteria; Bacillati; Cyanobacteriota; Cyanophyceae; Synechococcales; Prochlorococcaceae
Description: partial contains 16S ribosomal RNA, 16S-23S ribosomal RNA intergenic spacer, and 23S ribosomal RNA
Rfam family: tRNA (bases 227-299)
Source: RNAcentral